GACGAACCACACAAACGUUAUUCGGAAUUACUGGGCUUAAAGGGUGCGUAGGCGGCGCGGAAAGUUGGGUGUGAAAUCCCUCGGCUCAACCGAGGAACUGCGCUUAAAACUGUGGGACUCGAGGGAGAUAGAGGAAAGCGGAACUGAUGGUGGAGCGGUGAAAUGCGUUGAUAUCAUCAGGAACACCGGUGGCGAAGGCGGCUUUCUGGGUCUUACCUGACGCUGAGGAACGAAAGCCAGGGGAGCGAACGGG
This 253-nucleotide ribosomal RNA is filed under the name uncultured bacterium. Its description in RNAcentral is "partial 16S ribosomal RNA". It matches the Rfam family "Bacterial small subunit ribosomal RNA", at positions 524 to 776 of the family's 1533-position model. The record is from RNAcentral.